Molecule: long non-coding RNA, 102 nt
Organism: Sapajus apella (tufted capuchin)
Lineage: Eukaryota; Metazoa; Chordata; Mammalia; Primates; Cebidae
Exons: 3
Source: RefSeq, a predicted model, not a curated record
UGCAGUGACCUAGAGAGCUUGAGGCUCCUUGAUCCUAUCUGGGAGGCCUGACGGUUGGUUUCCAGAGAAAGGAACUCAGAUAGGACAAAUGUAACUUUUUCA